This 327-nucleotide ribosomal RNA is filed under the name uncultured eukaryote. RNAcentral's name for it is "partial 18S ribosomal RNA". It matches the Rfam family "Eukaryotic small subunit ribosomal RNA", at positions 1470 to 1796 of the family's 1831-position model. The record is from RNAcentral.
CCCUUAGAUGUCCUGGGCCGCACGCGUGCUACACUGACGCCUACAGCGAGUACUUCCCAGCCCCGAGAGGUGGCUGGUAAUCAGCAAUAGGCGUCGUGAUGGGGAUAGAUCUUUGGAAUUAUGGAUCUUGAACGAGGAAUGCCUAGUAAGCGCAGGUCAUUAGCCUGCGCUGAUUAAGUCCCUGCCCUUUGUACACACCGCCCGUCGCUCCUACCGAUUGAAUGGUCCGGUGAAGCGUUCGGACCGUGGCCUUUGGACGGUUCGCCGUCUGUUGGCUGCGGGAAGUUCGUUAAACCUUAUCAUUUAGAGGAAGGAGAANUCGUAACA